This 253-nucleotide ribosomal RNA is filed under the name uncultured bacterium. Its description in RNAcentral is "partial 16S ribosomal RNA". It matches the Rfam family "Bacterial small subunit ribosomal RNA", at positions 524 to 776 of the family's 1533-position model. The record is from RNAcentral.
UACAGAGGGUGCGAGCGUUAAUCGGAAUCACUGGGCGUAAAGGGCGCGUAGGCGGCCUGAUAAGUAGGGGGUGAAAUCCUGCGGCUUAACCGCAGGGCUGCCUUCUAAACUGUCAGGCUCGAGCACAGUAGAGGCAGGUGGAAUUCCCGGUGUAGCGGUGGAAUGCGUAGAGAUCGGGAAGAACAUCAGUGGCGAAGGCGACUACCUGGCCUGUUCUUGACGCUGAGGCGCGAAAGCUAGGGGAGCAAACGGG